AUGGUCUGGGGAAAGGCUCCUUGUGUGGUUGACCCCACCCGAUGUGGUGCAGCCCUGUACCUUUAGCUCGACCUUGACCUAAAGUAAAUUCGCAGAGAAGCAUCCUCCCUGGGGUUAAAAUUUGCAGUUAACAGACUGAA
This is a non-coding RNA of Rattus norvegicus (Norway rat), 140 nucleotides long. Ensembl annotates it as small Cajal body-specific RNA 16. Lineage: Eukaryota; Metazoa; Chordata; Mammalia; Rodentia; Muridae. The record is from Ensembl.